AGUUCGAUUAUGGCUCAGAUUGAACACUGGCGGGAUGCUUUACACAUGCAAGUCGAACGGCGGCACGGACUUCCGGUCUGUUGGCAGUGGCGAACGGGUGAGUAAUGUAUCGGAACGUGCCUGGUGGCGGGGGAUAACUGCGCGAAGCGCGUAGCUAAUACCGCAUACGCCCUUCAAGGGGAAAGCGGGGGACCUUCGGGCCUCGCACUAUUAGAAGCGGCCGAUAUCGGAUUAGCUAGUUGGUGGGGUAACGGCUCGCAAGGGCGACGAUCCGUAGCUGGUUUGAGAGGACGACCAGCCACACUGGGACUGAGACACGGCCCGAACUCUGGGAGGCAGCAGUGGGGAAUUUUGGACAAUGGGGAAACCACAGUCCAGCCAUCCCGCGUGUGCGAUGAAGGCCUUCGGGUUAUAAAGCACUUUUGGCAGGAAAGAAACGGCUGGGAUAAUACCCCGUGCAACUGACGACCUGCAGAAUAAGCACCGGCUAACUACGUGCCAGCAGCCGCGGUAAUACGUAAGUGCAAGCGUUAAUCGGAAUUACUGGGCGUAAAGCGUGCGCAGGCGGUUCGGAAGAAGAUGUGAAAUCCAGAGCAACUGGAACUGCAUUUUUAACUACCGAGCUAGAGUGUGUCAGAGGUGGAAUUCCGCGAUGUAGCAGUGAAAUGCGUAGAUAUGCGGAGGAACACCGAUGGCGAAGGCAGCCUCCUGGGAUGGACAACACUGACGCUCAUGCACGAAAGCGUGGGGAGCAAACAGGAUUAGAUACCCUGGUAGUCCACGCCCUAGCUUGAUGUCAACUAGCUGUUGGGGCCUUCGGGCCUUGGUAGCGCAGCUAACGCGUGAAGUUGACCGCCUGGGAGAGUACGAUUAUAAGAUUAAAACUCAAAGGAAUUGACGGGGACCCGCACAAGCGGUGGAUGAUGUGGAUUAAUUCGAUGCAACGCGAAAACCUUACCUACCCUUGACAUGUCUGGAAUCCCGAAGAGAUUUGGGAGUGCUCGCAAGAGAACCGGAACACAGGUGCUGCAUGGCUGUCGUCAGCUCGUGUCGUGAGAUGUUGGGUUAAGUCCCGCAACGAGCUGUACCCAUCAUUAGUUGCUACGAAGGGCACUCUAAUGAGACUACCGGUAUAUGGAAACCGGAAGGUGGGGAUGACGUCAAGUCCUCAUGGCCCUUAUGGGUAGGGCUUCACACGUCGUACAAUGGUCGGGACAGAGGGUCGCCAACCCGCGAGAGGUAAUCCAGAAACCCGAUCGUAGUCGGAUCGCAGUCUGCAACUCGACUGCGUGAAGUCGGAAUCGCUGGUAAUCGCGGAUCUUGACAUGUCGCGGUGAAUACGUUCCCGGGUCUUGUACACACCGCCCGUCACACCAUGGGAGUGGGUUUUACCAAGUAGUUAGCUUCAUGGCGGAGGCGAUUACCACGGUAGGAUUCAUGACUGGGGGUGAAGUCGUAACAAGGUAA
RNAcentral lists this ribosomal RNA (1467 nucleotides) under uncultured Bordetella sp. Its description in RNAcentral is "partial 16S-23S ribosomal RNA intergenic spacer". It matches the Rfam family "Bacterial small subunit ribosomal RNA". Lineage: Bacteria; Pseudomonadati; Pseudomonadota; Betaproteobacteria; Burkholderiales; Alcaligenaceae. The record is from RNAcentral.